Molecule: ribosomal RNA, 440 nt
Filed under: Acholeplasma laidlawii
Lineage: Bacteria; Bacillati; Mycoplasmatota; Mollicutes; Acholeplasmatales; Acholeplasmataceae
Description: bacterial LSU rRNA
Rfam family: Bacterial large subunit ribosomal RNA
Source: RNAcentral
GAUUAAACCGGAUCCGAAGGCGCGGGUAUUUUUUUACGUUAGAGGAGCGUUCCUAGGGCAAUGAAGUCAGACCGUGAGGACUGGUGGAGCGCUAGGAAGUGAGAAUGCCGGUAUGAGUAACGAUUCGUAGUGAGAAUCUACGACGCCUAUUGGGGAAGGUUUCCUGGGCAAGGUUCGUCCACCCAGGGUUAGUCAGGACCUAAGACGAGGCUGAAAAGCGUAGCCGAUGGACAACAGGUUAAUAUUCCUGUACUUUCUAUAAUAGUGAUGGAGUGACGGAGGAGGAUAAUCUUACCACUUACUGGAUUGUGGGGUAAGCGUUAACUGGUGACUGUAGGCAAAUCCGCAGUCUAUAACCGGGAGGCGUGAUGCAUAGGGUCAAACCGAAUUAGAUAAUUCCACACUUCCAAGAAAAGCUUCUAAACUUAAUAUAUGAAACC